UUUACCCCCCCUCCCUGCCACUCUUCUUCUCUCGCUUGCACUUUCUCUCUCUCUCUUUCUCUCUCUCUCUCUUUCUCUCUCAUUCACUGUCUCGCUCUGCUUUUUACCUAUGCAGCCGAGUAUGUAUGAAAACGCCAUCAGGUGUUAUUGGCCACGACUCCGUCGUCCGUAAAUAUAUUGUAAAAAAAAAAGAAAUGCCGAUCGUUUCUCGUUCCUGAGCUUUAAACCUUCAUAAACGAAGAAU
Molecule: long non-coding RNA, 244 nt
Organism: Vespula pensylvanica (western yellowjacket)
Lineage: Eukaryota; Metazoa; Arthropoda; Insecta; Hymenoptera; Vespidae
Exons: 2
Source: RefSeq, a predicted model, not a curated record